Molecule: ribosomal RNA, 442 nt
Filed under: uncultured bacterium
Lineage: Bacteria
Description: partial 16S ribosomal RNA
Rfam family: Bacterial small subunit ribosomal RNA
Source: RNAcentral
CCUACGGGGUGCAGCAGUGGGGAAUAUUGGGCAAUGGGCGCAAGCCUGAUCCAGCAACGCCGCGUGAAGGAAGAAGGCUUUCGGGUUGUAAACUUCUUUUGUCAGGGAAGAGUAGAAGACGGUACCUGACGAAUAAGCCACGGCUAACUACGUGCCAGCAGCCGCGGUAAUACGUAGGUGGCAAGCGUUGUCCGGAUUUACUGGGUGUAAAGGGCGUGUGGCCGGGUUGACAAGUCAGAUGUGAAAUCCUGCGGCUUAACCGCAGAACUGCAUUUGAAACUGUUGAUCUUGAGUACUGGAGAGGCAGACGGAAUUCCUAGUGGAGCGGUGAAAUGCGUAGAUAUUAGGAGGAACACCAGUGGCGAAGGCGGUCUGCUGGACAGCAACUGACGGUGAGGCGCGAAAGCGUGGGGAGCAAACAGGAUUAGAUACCCGGGUAGUC